RNAcentral lists this ribosomal RNA (253 nucleotides) under uncultured bacterium. Its description in RNAcentral is "partial 16S ribosomal RNA". It matches the Rfam family "Bacterial small subunit ribosomal RNA", at positions 524 to 776 of the family's 1533-position model. The record is from RNAcentral.
GACAGAGGGGGCAAGCGUUGCUCGGAAUUACUGGGCGUAAAGCGCGUGUAGGCGGCCCGGUAAGUCCGCUGUGAAAGUCCAGGGCUCAACCCUGGGAUGCCGGUGGAUACUGUCGGGCUCGAGUCCGGAAGAGGCGAGUGGAAUUCCUGGUGUAACGGUGAAAUGCGCAGAUAUCAGGAGGAACACCAAUGGCGAAGGCAGCUCGCUGGGACGUGACUGACGCUGAGACGCGAAAGCGUGGGGAGCAAGCAGG